Molecule: ribosomal RNA, 701 nt
Filed under: Serratia marcescens
Lineage: Bacteria; Pseudomonadati; Pseudomonadota; Gammaproteobacteria; Enterobacterales; Yersiniaceae
Description: bacterial SSU rRNA
Rfam family: Bacterial small subunit ribosomal RNA
Source: RNAcentral
GACGUUCGAUGUCGAUUUGGAGGUUGUGCCCUUGAGGCGUGGCUUCCGGAGCUAACGCGUUAAAUCGACCGCCUGGGGAGUACGGCCGCAAGGUUAAAACUCAAAUGAAUUGACGGGGGCCCGCACAAGCGGUGGAGCAUGUGGUUUAAUUCGAUGCAACGCGAAGAACCUUACCUACUCUUGACAUCCAGAGAACUUUCCAGAGAUGCUUUGGUGCCUUCGGGAACUCUGAGACAGGUGCUGCAUGGCUGUCGUCAGCUCGUGUUGUGAAAUGUUGGGUUAAGUCCCGCAACGAGCGCAACCCUUAUCCUUUGUUGCCAGCGGUUCGGCCGGGAACUCAAAGGAAACUGCCAGUGAUAAACUGGAAGAAGGUGGGGAUGACGUCAAGUCAUCAUGGCCCUUACGAAUAGGGCUACACACGUGCUACAAUGGCGUAUACAAAGAGAAGCGACCUCGCGAGAGCAAGCGGACCUCAUAAAGUACGUCGUAAUCCGGAUUGGAGUCUGCAACUCCACUCCAUGAAGUCGGAAUCGCUAGUAAUCGUAGAUCAAAAUGCUACGGUGAAUACGUUCCCGGGCCUUGUACACACCGCCCGUCACACCAUGGGAGUGGGUUGCAAAAGAAGUAGGUAGCUUAACCUUCGGGAGGGCGCUUACCACUUUGUGAUUCAUGACUGGGGUGAAGUCGUACCAGGGGUAAAC